Molecule: transfer RNA, 68 nt
Filed under: Diplostomum pseudospathaceum
Lineage: Eukaryota; Metazoa; Platyhelminthes; Trematoda; Diplostomida; Diplostomidae
Description: tRNA-Arg
Source: RNAcentral
UUUGAUAUUCUAUUAGUAGAGUCUGUGUUUCGGCCACAGAAUUUGAAAUUUUAGUAUUUCUGUCAAAU